This 71-nucleotide transfer RNA is filed under the name Cordylochernes scorpioides. Its description in RNAcentral is "tRNA-Thr". It matches the Rfam family "tRNA". Rfam says of the family: Transfer RNA (tRNA) molecules are approximately 80 nucleotides in length. Their secondary structure includes four short double-helical elements and three loops (D, anti-codon, and T loops). Further hydrogen bonds mediate the characteristic L-shaped molecular structure. tRNAs have two regions of fundamental functional importance: the anti-codon, which is responsible for specific mRNA codon recognition, and the 3' end, to which the tRNAs corresponding amino acid is attached (by aminoacyl-tRNA synthetases). tRNAs cope with the degeneracy of the genetic code in two manners: having more than one tRNA (with a specific anti-codon) for a particular amino acid; and 'wobble' base-pairing, i.e. permitting non-standard base-pairing at the 3rd anti-codon position. Lineage: Eukaryota; Metazoa; Arthropoda; Arachnida; Pseudoscorpiones; Chernetidae. The record is from RNAcentral.
UCCAGGGUAGCCUAGUGGACAUGGCAUCUGUCCGGUAAGCGGAACACUGGGUUCGAUUCCCAUCCCAGGAC